Molecule: non-coding RNA, 94 nt
Organism: Obba rivulosa
Lineage: Eukaryota; Fungi; Basidiomycota; Agaricomycetes; Polyporales; Gelatoporiaceae
Source: the annotation of a GenBank genome assembly
GGGCAUGUGGUGUAGUUGGUUAUCACGCUCGCUUAGCAUUGACAGAAUUUGUCACGAGUGCGAGAGGGGUCCGGUUCGAUCCCGGACAUGUCCA